This is a long non-coding RNA of Polypterus senegalus (gray bichir), 1484 nucleotides long. RefSeq lists it as uncharacterized. Lineage: Eukaryota; Metazoa; Chordata; Cladistia; Polypteriformes; Polypteridae. The record is from RefSeq and is a predicted model, not a curated record. The transcript has 2 exons.
AUGUGUAAUGAACAAUUGCUUCAUCCGAGAUUGGUGUUUACCUGAUGCUGCCAUGUUUGGUUCCAGCAUCCACUAUCCUCUAAUAGACAAAUUGUCCUGACAAAAUACAAUACUUGAUAUGCAGAAUGUAUUGUAGAUCGGAUUGCUUCCGACUCCCUAAUUCAUUUGUUACAUUAAUUUCACAUUUAAUCUAAAUUUGUGUCUCCCCACUGUAGGUAAGUCAUCCUGCACCUUGGCGUACAUUGCUGCACACUAGAAAUUCAUCUACUCCUAGCACACCUAUGUACUGUAUACCUCAUGUUAUAUGAUUGAUCUACUUGUUAUCUGACUUUUUUUAUUUUUGACAGGUGUGCUGCUUCACUAACCUCCCCUACACUGAUGAAUCUGGACUCUCUAGAGAAGUUAUUCUAAGGGACAAAAGGAGUCUUGCAUCGCAUGAUGGGCUAGAAUUGGAGUGGCAUGCCAAAAUAACAAAGUGUCUGUCAUGUUCUGUUCUGAUAAAUGAUCUUACUCUCCCCAUUACUUUUAGCUCAGUUAGUGACUCCUUCAUAUUCUUACAGAUUUAUUAUUAAGUUCCCAGGUCAAGAAUUGUUUGCAGCAGUCCCUUUCCAAUUUCUGCAUCAAUUGUUGGAGGACUGGUCAGUCUGUUCAAAAAUGAACAUAGCAGUCAUGAUAACAACACACUGAGAUGGCCUGACCAGGCUGCCAUGUCCUAAGCAACUUAUUCAACCAGCCAAGCCCAUGGAUUUUCCAGAUACUUCUAGACCACCUGAGAGAUAUAAUCCUUCCAGUGCAUCCUCUGUCUUCUCUGAGUGGGCUGUACCUUGAACAUCUUCCUGAGAAAUGCCAAGAGGGCAAUCUGAUUACAUGCCUAAACUACUUCAACCUGUAGAAAUAGUGGGUCUACUCCAAAGCCCUGUCAUAUGUCUACUGUAACUUUUUGUAAAAAUGUAUCACAGAAAUCUUGUACAAGAACCUCAUUUUGACCACUUGUACUUAUAAUCUCAUUCUUCCAUCACUAUCCAGAAUUAAUUACUACAGUGGAGGAAUGAUGAGUAAGACUUGACUUCUAAAUUGAAAGAAUUAUCCAAGAUUUAAUUUGUUCUUCAACACCAUCAGUUCUUUGGGGCAGCAGCUCACCUUAUGCCCAAAUAAACAUUCAGGAAUGCGUACAUAAUAUUUUGCUUUUUCAUUUUUAAAUUUAUAUUUCAGCUUUAUACAGUAAUUACAGUAUGAGAGUGAGAUCUUCAUCUGUGCCACUUUGCAAGAUAAUUUUUUCAUGGGCAUCACCUUUAUGUUGAUAUGCCUGAAUGGGUGUUGAUUUUCUGUGUAUUUGUAUAAGGAAACUUUUUGCUGCUUCUGGUUUUCUUGGGUACCACCAUUUUGUAUGUCUGGUCAGUGUGUCCCAUGACAUCAUGUUGCCAAGGUUACAUAUGCUAUUUUUCCAUUUGUUUCAGUUAAUUAAAUAAAUCAUAAUCAUACAA